UGGGAACGUGCCCUUCAGUUCGGAACAACCCAGGGAAACUUGGGCUAAUACCGGAUACGUCCGUAAGGAGAAAGAUUUAUCGCUGAAGGAUCGGCCCGCGUCUGAUUAGCUAGUUGGUGGGGUAAUGGCCCACCAAGGCUACGAUCAGUAGCUGGUCUGAGAGGAUGAUCAGCCACACUGGGACUGAGACACGGCCCAGACUCCUACGGGAGGCAG
Molecule: ribosomal RNA, 216 nt
Filed under: uncultured bacterium
Lineage: Bacteria
Description: partial 16S ribosomal RNA
Rfam family: Bacterial small subunit ribosomal RNA
Source: RNAcentral